UACGGGGGGAGCAAGCGUUGUUCGGAUUUACUGGGCGUAAAGGGCGCGUAGGCGGCCUUCUAAGUCGAACGUGAAAUCCCCGGGCUCAACCCGGGAACUGCGUCCGAGACUGAAAGGCUCGAAUCCGGGAGAGGGAUGUGGAAUUCCAGGUGUAGCGGUGAAAUGCGUAGAUAUCUGGAGGAACAUCGGUGGCGAAGGCGGCAUCCUGGACCGGUAUUGACGCUGAGGCGCGAAAGCCAGGGGAGCAAACGGG
This 253-nucleotide ribosomal RNA is filed under the name uncultured bacterium. Its description in RNAcentral is "partial 16S ribosomal RNA". It matches the Rfam family "Bacterial small subunit ribosomal RNA", at positions 524 to 776 of the family's 1533-position model. The record is from RNAcentral.